RNAcentral lists this long non-coding RNA (798 nucleotides) under Sinocyclocheilus anshuiensis. RNAcentral describes it as "lncRNA (ENSSANG00000044917.1)". Lineage: Eukaryota; Metazoa; Chordata; Actinopteri; Cypriniformes; Cyprinidae. The record is from RNAcentral.
UUCUGUUAGGUGAUGUAGAUUUCAGCAUUGAAGAUGUUGAUCAGGAUACAGAUACUAUCAGUCAUGAAUCAGAGAUCGUCUUAUGGCUGCCUGUCGUCUGUGUGCUUCUGCUACUGUUACUGGUGUCAAGUGUCUAUGUGUGUUGGAGAGGAACAGGACUGUGAAAAGGUUGUGGAAGAACUAAUAACCUGAACCAGGACUGGAUUCACAAUAGUGUUCAGGUCAGAAUCUCUCAGUUUGGUAGUUAGUAGUUUGUAAUUACCACAUAAGACUAUCACAUUCUCUUUUUUUCUUGCUUUCCAGGGUAAAAUGGAACAAGAUGAUUGGACACUGGCUGACGUUUUUUAUACACUGAUACCGUAAUUGAUUAUUUCAAAAUUCUUUUAUUCACUUAUCUUCAUCUUUUGUCUUAUUUAAUACAAUGUGUCUCUUUGGUAAUCAGAGUAGUUUGAUAACCCCUUUUUUUCAGAUGUGCUUCAAUGUGCAGAUUGCUAUGAAUUGUAUGUUUAACACUUAACUGUUUAUGUCAAUGCUUUAUGAUAUGUUCUGCCACUUUAAAUGUCUAACUUAUGCACAUGAAUAAUGACAAUACUUGCAAUGGCCUAUACUCUUGUAUUUUAUUGUGACUAUAUGGUAUCAAAAAGCUCCUCUCUCACAGCAGCCUUUUAACAAUGUUUCCUGUCUGUGAUUGUUGACUAAAUGUAGCUCAUGUGCCAGCAAUUUACAAAGCAAGUCGUCUCACGCACAUUGAACAGAGACACUCUAUUUAGAGAAAUACUUCUAAUAAAGUGAUAGCAG